Molecule: long non-coding RNA, 763 nt
Organism: Oryzias melastigma (Indian medaka)
Lineage: Eukaryota; Metazoa; Chordata; Actinopteri; Beloniformes; Adrianichthyidae
Exons: 3
Source: RefSeq, a predicted model, not a curated record
UACAAACAAAAAGAUGGCAUGAAAAUUAAACAUAAAGAUGCAAAAAUAGGCAUAUUGCACGAAUUUUCCUAACUAAAUAACAUAAUUUUGAAAUAAAAAAAUCAUGGGGAUUUGAAUUGGUGCGUAAAAUCAAAGUUGUUUAGCCAUUUGUAGUCCUAUUGACUUUAUCGCGGUUUAAGAAAAUCAAUUUUUCCCACAGUCAGUGAACGCCUUAUGUAGAUCGGGCAAACCACGCCCCUUUUGAGCGUCACGCAACUGCUUUUUUUCUCAUUUCAAAGUAUUACCCGGGUAAAUUUCGAACUAAGUUGUGAACGGACAACAUAGAUUUACAACUCAUUUGGUAAUCAUAAUAACAAAAUGAUUAAUGUAAAAGGCAAAAUAAAAAAAAAAUAAAAUAAUUUUGGUAUAUUUUCUCAAAUUAGUAACACCUGUUCAACUAUUUUUGGACAACAGGAGCGACUUGCCACAUGUGGGGAUGCCUUCGUUCAAGGUGUUAGGUGGCUCCAGCAGCCCUGUCACACUUCUCCCAAUUCUCGACGGCCCAGGACUCAGCCGCUGUCACAACUCUUCCUGGGCUGUCAUCAGCCCAUACUCAUCCUGAAUUUCAAACAGCUGUUGGCGAGUGUGAACCUUUUUGGACCAGAAUUCCUACCCGGCCACUUGGAUGUGGAGAAAAUCCUGGUGCUCUACGCUCAGCUUUCUGCUUAAGGAUCCCAGCUGACAAGUUUGCUCCUUUGCAAGUAGUUUUGAACAGUACAGAACA